AACAAAUGUUGAAAAAUAUUAUACAAACAUCAUUAUUUUUGCAAUUUGUUUGUCCUAUAAGAACAGAAAAAGAUGGAGUUUGUUCAACUGAACGUGAACCCAUAAGAUGUUGCACCGACUACAAACAAAUCAAAGAUAAAUGCAUUGCUUGCAAUGGUAGUUUUGGAGUUCAUUGUUCUCGAGACUGCCCUGUUGGUUAUUGUGGUCAUAAAUGCUUAACAAAGUGUGAUUGUGAGGACUGCAAUAGUCAUAACUGUGCAUGUCCUGCUGAUACGACAUCAAUUCGAUCUUCUAAACAGGAC
Saccostrea cuccullata (small rock oyster) is the source of this 302-nucleotide long non-coding RNA. RefSeq lists it as uncharacterized. Lineage: Eukaryota; Metazoa; Mollusca; Bivalvia; Ostreida; Ostreidae. The record is from RefSeq and is a predicted model, not a curated record. The transcript has 4 exons.